Molecule: transfer RNA, 54 nt
Filed under: Cylicocyclus ashworthi
Lineage: Eukaryota; Metazoa; Nematoda; Chromadorea; Rhabditida; Strongylidae
Description: tRNA-Leu
Source: RNAcentral
CAUAGUUAGUAUAUAAAAUAUAUUAGAUUUAGGUUCUAAAGAAAAAACUUAUGU